ACAUGCAAGUCGAACGAGAAAGGUUUCCCGGUAGCAAUACUGGGAGACCAAGUAAAGUGGCGAACGGGUGAGUAACACGUAGCUAACCUGCCCUUCAGUGGGGGAUAACCCCGCGAAAGUGGAGCUAAUACCGCAUAAUGUCCCUGGGGCACAGGCUCCGGGGAGCAAAGCCGGUAACGGCGCUGGAGGAGGGGGCUGCGGCCGAUUAGCUAGUUGGUAGGGUAACGGCCUACCAAGGCUCCGAUCGGUAGCCGGCCUGAGAGGGCGCACGGCCACACUGGAACUGAAACACGGUCCAGACUCCUACGGGAGGCAGCAGUGGGGAAUUUUGCACAAUGCCCGAAAGGGUGAUGCAGCAACGCCGCGUGGAGGAUGAAGGUCCUCGGAUCGUAAACUCCUUUCGACCCGGAAGAAGGCCCGGUGAUGAGCCGGGAUUGACGGUACGGGUGGAAGAAGCCCCGGCCAACUACGUGCCAGCAGCCGCGGUAAUACGUAGGGGGCAAGCGUUGUUCGGAAUUACUGGGCGUAAAGGGCGCGUAGGCGGUUCGGUAAGUCUCGUGUGAAAUCUCUCCGCUUAACGGGGAGGGGUCGCGAGAAACUGCCGGACUAGAGUGCGGAAGG
RNAcentral lists this ribosomal RNA (621 nucleotides) under uncultured bacterium. RNAcentral's name for it is "bacterial SSU rRNA". It matches the Rfam family "Bacterial small subunit ribosomal RNA", at positions 53 to 655 of the family's 1533-position model. The record is from RNAcentral.